Molecule: ribosomal RNA, 1414 nt
Filed under: uncultured bacterium
Lineage: Bacteria
Description: bacterial SSU rRNA
Rfam family: Bacterial small subunit ribosomal RNA
Source: RNAcentral
GAGUUUGAUCAUGGCUCAGGACGAACGCUGGCGGCGUGCUUAACACAUGCAAGUCGAACGGUGAAGGGGCCUGCUUUUGUGGGUCCUGGAUGAGUGGCGAACGGGUGAGUAACACGUGAGUAACCUGCCCCCUUCUUCUGGAUAACCGCAUGAAAGUGUGGCUAAUACGGGAUAUUCUGGGUCUGUCGCAUGGUGGGCCUGGGAAAGGUUUUUUCCGGUGGGGGAUGGGCUCGCGGCCUAUCAGCUUGUUGGUGGGGUGAUGGCCUACCAAGGCGGUGACGGGUAGCCGGCCUGAGAGGGUGGACGGUCACACUGGGACUGAGACACGGCCCAGACUCCUACGGGAGGCAGCAGUGGGGAAUAUUGCACAAUGGGCGCAAGCCUGAUGCAGCGACGCCGCGUGAGGGAUGGAGGCCUUCGGGUUGUGAACCUCUUUCGCCAGUGAAGCAGGCCUGCUCCUUUUUUGUGGGUGGGUUGACGGUAGCUGGAUAAGAAGCGCCGGCUAACUACGUGCCAGCAGCCGCGGUAAUACGUAGGGCGCGAGCGUUGUCCGGAAUUAUUGGGCGUAAAGAGCUCGUAGGCGGCUGGUCGCGUCUGUCGUGAAAUCCUCUGGCUUAACUGGGGGCUUGCGGUGGGUACGGGCCGGCUUGAGUGCGGUAGGGGAGGCUGGAACUCCUGGUGUAGCGGUGGAAUGCGCAGAUAUCAGGAAGAACACCGGUGGCGAAGGCGGGUCUCUGGGCCGUUACUGACGCUGAGGAGCGAAAGCGUGGGGAGCGAACAGGAUUAGAUACCCUGGUAGUCCACGCCGUAAACGUUGGGCACUAAGGUGUGGGGGGGCUUUUCCGGGUUUUCCGCGCCGUAGCUAACGCAUUAAGUGCCCCGCCUGGGGAGUACGGCCGCAAGGCUAAAACUCAAAGGAAUUGACGGGGGCCCGCACAAGCGGCGGAGCAUGCGGAUUAAUUCGAUGCAACGCGAAGAACCUUACCAAGGCUUGACAUGUGCCGGUCUGCUCCGGAGACGGGGUUUCCUCCCUUGUGGGGGGUGGUUCACAGGUGGUGCAUGGUUGUCGUCAGCUCGUGUCGUGAGAUGUUGGGUUAAGUCCCGCAACGAGCGCAACCCUUGCCUCGUGUUGCCAGCACGUUGUGGUGGGGACUCGCGGGAGACUGCCGGGGUCAACUCGGAGGAAGGUGGGGAUGACGUCAAAUCAUCAUGCCCCUUAUGUCUUGGGCUUCACGCAUGCUACAAUGGCCGGUACAGAGGGCUGCGAUACCGUGAGGCGGAGCGAAUCCCUUAAAGCCGGUCUCAGUUCGGAUCGGUGUCUGCAACUCGACACCGUGAAGUUGGAGUCGCUAGUAAUCGCAGAUCAGCAACGCUGCGGUGAAUACGUUCUCGGGCCUUGCACACACCGCCCGUC